RNAcentral lists this ribosomal RNA (166 nucleotides) under uncultured bacterium. Its description in RNAcentral is "partial 16S ribosomal RNA". It matches the Rfam family "Bacterial small subunit ribosomal RNA", at positions 1335 to 1500 of the family's 1533-position model. The record is from RNAcentral.
CUAGUAAUCGUGGAUCAGCAUGCCACGGUGAAUACGUUCCCGGGUCUUGUACACACCGCCCGUCACACCAUGGGAGUCGGUAACACCCGAAGUCAGUAGUCUAACCGCAAGGAGGACGCUGCCGAAGGUGGGAUUGACGACUGGGGUGAAGUCGUAACAAGGUACC